AGUGAACGCUGGCGGUAGGCCUAACACAUGCGAGUCGAACGGCAGCACAGUAAGAGCUUGCUCUUACGGGUGGCGGGUGGCGGACGGGUGAGGAAUACAUCGGAAUCUACUUUUUCGUGGGGGAUAACGUAGGGAAACUUACGCUAAUACCGCAUACGACCUACGGGUGAAAGCAGGGGAUCUUCGGACCUUGCGCGAUUGAAUGAGCCGAUGUCGGAUUAGCUAGUUGGCGGGGUAAAGGCCCACCAAGGCGACGAUCCGUAGCUGGUCUGAGAGGAUGAUCAGCCACACUGGAACUGAGACACGGUCCAGACUCCUACGGGAGGCAGCAGUGGGGAAUAUUGGACAAUGGGCGCAAGCCUGAUCCAGCCAUACCGCGUGGGUGAAGAAGGCCUUCGGGUUGUAAAGCCCUUUUGUUGGGAAAGAAAAGCAGCAGGUUAAUACCCCGCUGUUCCGACGGUACCCAAAGAAUAAGCACCGGCUAACUUCGUG
RNAcentral lists this ribosomal RNA (492 nucleotides) under uncultured bacterium. RNAcentral's name for it is "partial 16S ribosomal RNA". It matches the Rfam family "Bacterial small subunit ribosomal RNA", at positions 29 to 507 of the family's 1533-position model. The record is from RNAcentral.